CAAUAGCGUAUAUUAAAGUUGUUGCAGUUAGAACGCUCGUAGUCGGAUUUCGGGGCGGGCCGACCGGUCUGCCGAUGGGUACGCACUGGCCGGCGCGUCCUUCCUUCCGGAGACCGUGCCUACUCUUAACUGAGCGGGGGCGGGAGACGGAUCGUUUACUUUGAAAAAAUCAGAGUGUUUCAAGCAGGCAGCUCGCUCUUGCAUGGAUUAGCAUGGGAUAAUGAAAUAGGACUUUGGUGCUAUUUUGUUGGUUUCGAACACCGAAGUAAUGAUUAAAAGGGACAGUCAGGGGCACUCGUAUUCCGCCGAGAGAGGUGAAAUUCUCAGACCAGCGGAAGACGAACCACUGCGAAAGCAUUUGCCAGGGAUGUUUUCACUGA
Molecule: ribosomal RNA, 380 nt
Filed under: uncultured eukaryote
Lineage: Eukaryota
Description: partial 18S ribosomal RNA
Rfam family: Eukaryotic small subunit ribosomal RNA
Source: RNAcentral